RNAcentral lists this ribosomal RNA (254 nucleotides) under uncultured bacterium. RNAcentral's name for it is "partial 16S ribosomal RNA". It matches the Rfam family "Bacterial small subunit ribosomal RNA", at positions 524 to 776 of the family's 1533-position model. The record is from RNAcentral.
CACGUAGGGGGCAAGCGUUGUCCGGAUUUAUUGGGCGUAAAGAGCUCGUAGGCGGCUCAGUAAGUCGGGUGUGAAACCUCCAGGCUCAACCUGGAGACGCCACCUGAUACUGCUGUGGCUAGAGUCCGGUAGGGGAGCGUGGAAUUCCUGGUGUAGCGGUGAAAUGCGCAGAUAUCAGGAGGAACACCAGCGGCGAAGGCGGCGCUCUGGGCCGGAACUGACGCUGAGGUGCGAAAGCGUGGGGAGCAAACAGG